Molecule: non-coding RNA, 615 nt
Organism: Pelobates cultripes (western spadefoot toad)
Lineage: Eukaryota; Metazoa; Chordata; Amphibia; Anura; Pelobatidae
Source: the annotation of a GenBank genome assembly
CCUAGAAUCACUUUUAGGGGGGCACCUAAUCUGAAAAGGAAAAUAACGAGUAGCCAUCUAAAAGGAAGAAAGCAAACAACUACAAUAAAAAAAGAACGGUUUCUUUUAUUGCCUGGAAUGUAUUGCAUGUAAGACAAGUAAGAACAUACAGACAAAAGGAGUAUUUGAAGUCAUAAAAAAUAAUCAUAAAAGAAAGAUGGAAUCGUGCAAAAUAAAAGAACACAUCACUUGUCAGAGUACCAAUGUGAUCUAUGUACUGGAGUGUCCGUGUGGACUCAAAUAUGUAGGAAGAACCAAGAGAAAGCUGUAUGUGAGAAUUAGAGAACAUAUGUUAAAACAUAAAAAAAGGUUAUAUGCAGCAUUUGGUUUUCGCUCACUUUAAACAGCAACACAACUCGGAUAUGAGCCUCCUGAAUUUCAAAGGGGUAUGUAAAGUUAAUAAGAAUUGGAGAGGUGGUGAUCCAAAUAAACAGUUGGGGAUUACUGAAAUGCAAUGGAUAUAUAAGCUGGAUACAUUACAACCUAAAGGAUUAAAUGCUGAAUUUGAGCUCUGUCACUUUCUUGGAUAAUUAAAUUUUUUUUUUUUUUCAUAUUUAAUUAUAGCAGGUAUAUGUU